GUGUUAAUAAAGUUGUGUUUGUACAGUGUUAAUAAAGUUGUGUGUUUGUACAGUGAUAAUAAAGUUUUGUGUCUGUACAGUGUUAAUAAAGUUGUGUUUGUACAGUGAUAAUAAAGUUGUGUGUUUGUACAGUGUUAAUAAAGUUUUGUGUUUGUACAGUGAUAAUAAAGUUGUGUCUGUACAGUGAUAAUAAAGUUGUGUUUGUACAGUGAUAAUAAAGUUGUGUGUUUGUACAGUGUUAAUAAAGUUGUGUGUUUGUACAGUGAUAAUAAAGUUGUGUGUUUGUACAGUGUUAAUAAAGUUGUGUGUUUGUACAGUGUUAAUAAAGUUGUGUGUUUGUACAGUGUUAAUAAAGUUGUGUCUGUACAGUGUUAAUAAAGUUGUGUGUUUGUACAGUGUUAAUAAAGUUGUGUUUGUACAGUGUUAAUAAAGUUGUGUGUUUGUACAGUGUUAAUAAAGUUGUGUUUGUACAGUGUUAAUAAAGUUGUGUGUCUGUACAGUGUUAAUAAAGUUGUGUUUGUACAGUGAUAAUAAAGUUUUGUGUUUGUACAGUGAUAAUAAAGUUGUGUGUUUGUACAGUGUUAAUAAAGUUGUGUUUGUACAGUGUUAAUAAAGUUGUGUCUGUACAGUGUUAAUAAAGUUGUGUGUUUGUACAGUGUUAAUAAAGUUUUGUGUUUGUACAGUGUUAAUAAAGUUGUGUGUUUGUACAGUGUUAAUAAAGUUGUGUCUGUACAGUGUUAAUAAAGUUGUGUGUUUGUACAGUGUUAAUAAAGUUGUGUUUGUACAGUGUUAAUAAAGUUGUGUGUUUGUACAGUGUUAAUAAAGUUGUGUUUGUACAGUGUUAAUAAAGUUGUGUGUCUGUACAGUGUUAAUAAAGUUGUGUUUGUACAGUGAUAAUAAAGUUGUGUGUUUGUACAGUGUUAAUAAAGUUGUGUGUUUGUACAGUGUUAAUA
This is a long non-coding RNA of Dicentrarchus labrax (European seabass), 953 nucleotides long. RefSeq lists it as uncharacterized. The record is from RefSeq and is a predicted model, not a curated record. The transcript has 5 exons. NCBI's taxonomy places the organism in Eukaryota, Metazoa, Chordata, Actinopteri, Moronidae.